RNAcentral lists this transfer RNA (72 nucleotides) under Sphaerodactylus townsendi. Its description in RNAcentral is "tRNA-Ala". It matches the Rfam family "tRNA". From Rfam's summary of the family: Transfer RNA (tRNA) molecules are approximately 80 nucleotides in length. Their secondary structure includes four short double-helical elements and three loops (D, anti-codon, and T loops). Lineage: Eukaryota; Metazoa; Chordata; Lepidosauria; Squamata; Sphaerodactylidae. The record is from RNAcentral.
AGGGCUGUGACUCAGUGGUAGAGCAUCUGCUUGGCAUGCAGAAGGUCCCAGGUACAAUCCCCAGCAACUUCU